RNAcentral lists this long non-coding RNA (873 nucleotides) under Glycine max (soybean). RNAcentral's name for it is "long non-coding RNA (GMAX_LNC001199)". Lineage: Eukaryota; Viridiplantae; Streptophyta; Magnoliopsida; Fabales; Fabaceae. The record is from RNAcentral.
CCUAUAGGACAAAUAAACCGGUUCAGUGGGAGAAUACUAAUUGAGUGUGAGAUAAAAGUCCUACACACUCAUAAAAAAAAUUAUAAAGAAAGAAGAAAAAGACGUAGCCUAUAUAGCCAUAUACAAUACUAUAAACGCGCGGAGAAACUGGGAGGAAAUUGAUCGCUUCUGAAAACUUUCUCUCUUUCCCAUUUUGCUCAUACUUCUCAUCAGAGCUAUGGGAAUGCGAUCGAUUAUCUCUGCAAAUAAAUCCAUCGGAUCGCUUAUAAAAUAGCGUCGUGAGUUUGCUUUUAACUGUACACUACAGUACUACUAAAGGAGUUUCAAUGAUAUAUGAUUUAGCCAUAGGACAUGCAUUCAUCAAAGUGUUCUAUUAAAAUUAAACUAGAACACAAAUUUUAAUUAGAGAAUUGUUAAUAAAGUAGUAACACAUGCAUGGUUUUAAAUUACUAUUCAUCAUCGCAAUUUUAAUCACAACAUAAAAAUAUUUGAACCAUCGCAACAACAUCAUCAUAACUGUAAUUGUGAUUAAAUCAAGAACAUUUUUUUGCAACAUAAUUUUUUUUUCACUCACCGCAACCAUGGACACAUAAUUAUAUAAUCUAGUGUACUUCUUUUAAAAGAUAUUCUUAAUUAUUGAUUGAAAUUAUUAAAAUUAGAAAACAUAAUAGGGAGUGUGGGAAAGAUGAGAUAUUUACCAAAUUGACCUUAUGAUAAUCAAGUGCUAACAAACAAAACAACCUUGAAGUGGCAAACUUGAGGGCAGUAAAAUAAAGUUGGUGGCUAGAAAUGGUUUCAGGUUGGCGGUGAUGCUAUAUAUAGGUUAGGAUAGGAUAAAGAAGCCCCUUAUCUGUGCUGUGCAGCAAACACCAG